This is a long non-coding RNA of Junco hyemalis (dark-eyed junco), 2300 nucleotides long. Lineage: Eukaryota; Metazoa; Chordata; Aves; Passeriformes; Passerellidae. The record is from Ensembl.
AAAACCCCAGCAGCAGCUGCAGGGAGAUGCUGGAAAGCAAAGGAAUUCUGGUGGCUGACAUCUCCACCUUCCUCGCGACAGUGCAGCAAGUGGCCGCUCCCUUCAGAAGAAGCUACUGGUGACAAAGUGAAGCCACCAGGACACGGCUCCUCCCCAGGCCCUGUGGCACCAGUUUGGGCACCCCGGUCCUGUGGGGGACAUCCCCACCAUCCCAAUGGAUCCCCACCACCCAACCCAGUGGAUCCCCACCACUCAUCCCAUGAAUCCCAGUAGAUCCCCACCAUCAAUCCCAGUGAUCCCACUGGAUCCCCACCACCCAUCCCUGUCAAUCCCAUCAGUCCCACUGGAGCCCAGUGAUCCCAGUGGGUCCCCACCAUCCAUCCCAGUCCCUGCUGGGGGUGGGGGAAAGUCGGGUUUAGCUCUGUACAUAAAUCUUAUUUAAAGGUGGGAAAUGCAAACCCUCAGGGGAUUCAUUCCCUGCCGUCCAGUCUCACAUAGGAAAGUUCUUUUUAAACGGUACAGGUAAAUUAUUGGAGCGGUUUGAAGGUUUUUCGUGCAGCUGCCGUUGGAGCAGGCAAAUGAAUUUCCCAAAGUGUACUUGAAGAUGAGGAAUGAGAACAAAUCCCUUUUCCACGUGGUCGUUGCUGUUCAGGCCCACGCUACAUUUCAGCUCAGCCUCCUGGUAUCGGUUCCCUGCUGGCACUCGUGGAAUCCCAGCACAGGAACCCCUGUAAAUAGCGGGAGGCAGGAACAGAAUAAGCUCUUUUAUUUAUGGGGGAAAGGAGCAGCCCAGCCCCGUUCCCACCCGGCUCCGCGGGGCAGGGGCGUCCCUCAGCUCGUUUUUAAAUCAGGACUGCGAGGUCACUCUGUACAGGAUGACUUUGUAAAGAGUUUGCUUAAUAAAACCUCCAAAAUCACGAAUGGCACACAGCUCUGCUUUCUGGAGAGGGGAUCAGCAUCCAGCUCAGCUCAGCAUUCCGCCUUUUCCAGCAGGGACCGGGAGGGCAGGGGGUUCUGCAGCUGGGGCAGAGGUGGGGAAGCAGCAAGGAGUGAGCAAGACCAUGGUGGGCUCCUGGAUCGUGGAUCCCAUCGCGCUUCCCUGCAGGAAGGAUGGAAGAACCAGAGGAACGAGCAGGUUCCAGCAGGAAAUGCUCCCGUGGAACCAGGAAAUGCUCCCAUAGAACCAGGGAAUGUUCCCAUGAACCAGGAAAUGCCUUCCUGCAGGAAAUGCUCCUGUGGAACCAGGAAACGCUCCCAUGAACCAGGAAACGCUCCCAUGAACCAGGAAACGCUCCCAUGAACCAGGGAAUGUUCCCAUGAACCAGGAAACGCUCCCAUGAACCAGGGAAUGUUCCCAUGAACCAGGAAAUGCUCCCAUGAACCAGGGAAUGCCUUCCUGCAGGGAACGCUCCCAUGAACCAGGAAACGCUCCCAUGAACCAGGAAACGCUCCCAUGAACCAGGAAACGCUCCCAUAGAACCAGGAAAUGCCUCCCUGCGGGAAACGCUCCCGUCUCAGCCCUGGCAGGCACAGAUGCUGCAGGGUCUCAGCCUGGAGCUGCUGCUCCCAGAACUGAAGUGAAUCAGACCAGAGGCCAGGACUGGUUUCCAGAAUUUGGCUUUACUUCGCAGUACAGAAAUCAUUUGGAGCCUUCAGGAGACACGAGAAGCACAGGCUCUGUCAUGCCGAUACCGCAGCGCCGUUUGGUCCAUCCGAGAAGCCACCGGGGGACAGAAAAUACUUCCACAUCUUGCCUGCUCUGUAAUUUGUUCUCUCAAUUUUAUUAAGAUUAAAACACAAAGGAGCCUGAGGCACAGCUGUGUCCCAACCGAUGUAAACGGGUUUAGAAGCUUAAGUGGAGGUUAAGUUCUGUGCCCAGAACGAAGCCAACAUUUGCUGCUACAAUAGGUGUGGGCUUUGUCCAUGAUACAACUUUGCCACAGAGUUAAGAUUGAUGGGAGAGACUUUUAGGGAUGCUGUCCACAAUAAUGGAGUGCUCAGUUUCUAUUUUCCUUGAUAUCAGGUUUGAGUGACAUCAGCGUCACAUCUACGAGCUCACCAGAAGCACAGGAUUGUGAAGGAUGUUUUACAAAUGAUUAAAAAGACAAGGUAAGACACAGCUGUCAAUGAGUUAUUUCAAAUCUGCACCCACGUCUACGUCUGCAAAAAUAAUAAUAAUAAGAGUAAGUUCAGUCUGCCUUUCUGCUUACGAGGUUAGUCAGGAAUAUCAGUCAGGAAUUUGCCAGAUUCUGGACAGCAGCCCUACUAGAAUGAAAUAAUUAACACAUGAUAUCCAAAAA